GCCCCUGUAGCUCAGUGGAUAGAGCGUCGGUUUCCUAAACCGUGCGUCGCAGGUUCGAUUCCUGCCAGGGGCG
RNAcentral lists this transfer RNA (73 nucleotides) under Nitriliruptor sp. RNAcentral describes it as "tRNA-Arg". It matches the Rfam family "tRNA". From Rfam's summary of the family: Transfer RNA (tRNA) molecules are approximately 80 nucleotides in length. RNAcentral also lists the same sequence under 1 other name. The record is from RNAcentral. Lineage: Bacteria; Bacillati; Actinomycetota; Nitriliruptoria; Nitriliruptorales; Nitriliruptoraceae.